CUGAUGCAGCAACGCCGCGUGAGGGACGAAGGCCUUCGGGUUGUAAACCUCUUUUAGUAGGGAAGAAGCGAAAGUGACGGUACCUGCAGAAAAAGCACCGGCUAACUACGUGCCAGCAGCCGCGGUAAUACGUAGGGUGCAAGCGUUGUCCGGAAUUAUUGGGCGUAAAGAGCUCGUAGGCGGUUUGUCGCGUCUGCUGUGAAAACUGGAGGCUCAACCUCCAGCCUGCAGUGGGUACGGGCAGACUAGAGUGCGGUAGGGGAGAUUGGAAUUCCUGGUGUAGCGGUGGAAUGCGCAGAUAUCAGGAGGAACACCGAUGGCGAAGGCAGAUCUCUGGGCCGUAACUGACGCUGAGGAGCGAAAGCAUGGGGAGCGAACAGGAUUAGAUACCCUGGUAGUCCAUGCCGUAAACGUUGGGAACUAGAUGUAGGGGCCAUUCCACGGUUUCUGUGUCGCAGCUAACGCAUUAAGUUCCCCGCCUGGGGAGUACGGCCGCAAGGCUAAAACUCAAAGGAAUUGACGGGGGCCCGCACAAGCGGCGGAGCAUGCGGAUUAAUUCGAUGCAACGCGAAGAACCUUACCAAGGCUUGACAUAUACCGGAAACGGCUAGAGAUAGUCGCCCCGCAAGGUCGGUAUA
This 638-nucleotide ribosomal RNA is filed under the name Microbacteriaceae bacterium Se1Pt_355. Its description in RNAcentral is "bacterial SSU rRNA". It matches the Rfam family "Bacterial small subunit ribosomal RNA", at positions 383 to 1034 of the family's 1533-position model. Lineage: Bacteria; Bacillati; Actinomycetota; Actinomycetes; Micrococcales; Microbacteriaceae. The record is from RNAcentral.